GCUCAACAGCUCCACCCUCCACUGCUGUUCACCCAUGACACGUCACUUCCCACCCGCCACUGCUGGCUCACCUGUGACACCCCAGGCAGCUCAGAUGCCCGGCAGGUCCUGCUGGUAAGAGGGAGGCAGGAACUUGUCCUGUCUGGGACCCGGGCAUUGCUGGGCGCCGGAGGGACCUGGGACCUCAACCACGCUGGGAGCUGGCCUGUCGUACAGGCGGUGCCUGGCAGAUGUGGACGGGCUCCGCAGGCUCCUGGCGGCCCACCCCUGCCUUCGUGCCAUCCUUCCUGGGAGUCUCCUGGCCAAGGAGGACUCGAGGCCUGUCCCACCUGUGCCCAGGGCUCACUGUGGCUCCCUUCAGCGGGGCUCUGCUCUCUCCCCGCCUGCUUCCCCUCCAGCUCCUGGGCUCUGCCCCAGCAUCCCCCCGAGCCUCUCCCAUUCCUGGCCCCAGCCUGGCCAGGGAUCCCAGAGGAUGCCUUCACCAGCCCAGCCCCUUGCCUGGUGGAUCACCACUCCUGUCUCCUGCUGCUCUGCCCCCUGCCCCGGGCCUGGGAAACCUGGGAGGACCCUGAGGGAGGGUCAGGGAUGUGUGACACCAGCAGGAGGCUGACGAGUUCCCUGGCAGGAAGCACACUGCACAGGGAGCCUGCCGCCAUGCUGCCACUCUCAUGCCCCUGCGGGGCCGCAGAGAGGGAUGCCUAG
RNAcentral lists this long non-coding RNA (702 nucleotides) under Homo sapiens (human). Its description in RNAcentral is "non-protein coding lnc-TMEM105-2:18". The record is from RNAcentral. Lineage: Eukaryota; Metazoa; Chordata; Mammalia; Primates; Hominidae.